Long non-coding RNA from Tetranychus urticae (two-spotted spider mite), 1501 nucleotides. RefSeq lists it as uncharacterized. NCBI's taxonomy places the organism in Eukaryota, Metazoa, Arthropoda, Arachnida, Trombidiformes, Tetranychidae. The record is from RefSeq and is a predicted model, not a curated record.
AUUUGUUUUGUUGAUGUUUUUUGUUUUAUGCGAUUUUUUGCACAAUUACAAGACUAUUUUUAUUAAUUGUCUUCAUGUAACUUUAAUUUGACGCCAACCCGUUUAGAUUGAGAAAUUUAUGAUUAAAAAAUGUUAAUCUAAGUGACUUGUAUCAAGUAAAAUCUCCAACGAAACGACUAUAAAUCAAUAUUUUGUGUGUAACCAUUUACGACUGUUAUUUACAUAAAACAUUACAGUGACCAGAAAAGGCUAACUCAAUAAACCAUCUUAAUGUGCUACAAGAGAUUAAAUUAACAAUUUAUUCAAUUUUGGAAUUGAUUUUGCCAUACAAUUAAUACCAUUUAAUGAGACAUCAAUUGUGACCAUUGAUUAACCAUUUGAAAGUGAAAAUAACAACACGUUUAAUGUCCCGCUGUAACAAAUGUACAAUAGACAAAUUUAAUGUAACAAUUUUUCUUGAUGAAAAGCUGCUUUACUUCCUUCCGUUCAAUUAAACCCUCAAACAAACACAAAUCAAACAACAGACUGUGCAAAAUCAAUUGAUUGAAAAUUUGUUAAAGGCAGCAUCAAGACGAAAAAAGAGAUUUAUAUAUUUAUAUAUAAAUUGAUAAUGCAAAUACAAUUAUGUCUGUUAAACCCUCAAGGUAUAAAUGAGUAGCUUCUUUAAGGAAAGCAAUUAUUGGUGUUGGAUGUUGUUUUAUUUUCCAGGUCAAAAGUGAAACUGACCCAGUCUUUUAGGGUAUUUUGUUUUUAUAAUCAACGUUCAAUAUUAAAGGAAGUAUCACUUUUAAUUUAAAUGAGAUCAUCUUCAUUAAAGAAACCUCCAGAAUCGCCAUUCAAAUUUUGUUUAUUGGUAAAUUAAAAUGGAAAGUUGAACGACCCAAUAAAAAAAAGAGAGAAAAAGAAAACAAAAUUAAGAGUAAAAAGGGUUUGCCAGAUCAACCGAGUUCCGUUUCAUGUUACCCUCAGGCUGAAAAGGAAAUGAAACUGAGAAAAUGAUGAAUCUGAAUAGAAUCCAGUUUUCCUUUUGUUUCAUUUUUCGUUUUCCUUUAUCUCUCUCUCUCUUCUUGGCUUUCCUUUCCUGGUCAAAUGAAAGGAUCAAACUUAUUGUUUCAAUUGGAAUCAGUUAUCCUGAUUAUCAUGAUUAUUAUCAUUAUUAUCAUAAUAGAAGUUAUUAAUCUUAAUCUUUAAUGAACCAGAAACGAGAUAACACACAAGUCAAGUAAAUAACCCAAAAGAUGGAGUUACUUAAAAGAUGUUAACCAGAAAAGUAAAUUUUGAUUUUUAAUUUUCCCUUCAAUGCAAACUCAAUGUAAAUGUCAAUCUUGACCGUUACAGUUUACAAUGAAAGUCAAAUUGAGACCAAAUUUGCGUGUUAAUUAGUGUUUCUCAUGAAAUUACCGGAAAACAUUAAAAUGAUGUUCACAGUUGAUUUACUUGUGAAAUGAUGAUGACAAUGAUUAUUAAAUGAUUAUCAAAGUGACCUGAAUGUUACAUUAAA